RNAcentral lists this ribosomal RNA (455 nucleotides) under uncultured bacterium. RNAcentral describes it as "bacterial SSU rRNA". It matches the Rfam family "Bacterial small subunit ribosomal RNA", at positions 1 to 507 of the family's 1533-position model. The record is from RNAcentral.
AGUAGUUGAUCAUGGCUCAGAGCGAACGCUGGCGGCAGGCUUAACACAUGCAAGUCGAACGGGCGUAGCAAUACGUCAGUGGCAGACGGGUGAGUAACACGUGGGAACGUACCUUUUGGUUCGGAACAACUGAGGGAAACUUCAGCUAAUACCGGAUAAGCCCUUACGGGGAAAGAUUUAUCGCCGAAAGAUCGGCCCGCGUCUGAUUAGCUAGUUGGUGGGGUAAGAGCCCACCAAGGCGACGAUCAGUAGCUGGUCUGAGAGGAUGAUCAGCCACAUUGGGACUGAGACACGGCCCAAACUCCUACGGGAGGCAGCAGUGGGGAAUAUUGGACAAUGGGCGAAAGCCUGAUCCAGCCAUGCCGCGUGAGUGAUGAAGGCCCUAGGGUUGUAAAGCUCUUUUAACGGGGAAGAUAAUGACGGUACCCGUAGAAUAAGCCCCGGCUAACUUCGUG